GGCGGGCGGAGGGAGGCGGGGGUGCUGUCUGUUGUAAACAAACUGUUUAUCAUUCCCCGAUCCGAGGCAGUCACUUUGUCACUUCACUAUUCCUAAUCGGAUUGAAAUUCUUCACUGUAGUGUUUAGGAUUAGAUUUACUUACAGUUUCUAGUAUUAUUCCAUGUGUUUAAAUCUUUUAAAAUGAUAAAAUUCAUCAAAGCACCUCUCAUGACCAAUUAUCGUCCUUGAAUGAUCAUUGUGUCUGACUCUCUGGUGGCCCAGGCUACCUCUGGGGCAUUUUGGAUCUCUGGACUCUCCAACUGCAUUGUUCAUUAAAAAUUCCUUUUAAUGGCUUUCAGUUUCAGCAAUGCGUUAAACUCUGGGCUCCCACGCAGAGCAGGGGCCAGACCUCCUCCACCAGGACCACCUCCUCCGCCGCAAGUGGGGCCACUGCAGCUCAGACCCGGAUUCGGGCGGAAUCACCCUCAAUCAGAUCUAGAUGUUCAACAACAGCAACAACAUCAGCAAAUGGUGCAGCAACAGCUGAUGCAGAUGAUCUCAGCAACUGGACACUCCAUGCUUCCACACGGACAGCUCCUUUUAGGCCCGCAACAAUUUCCACCCCUUCAAUUCUGAAUGAAAUGCAUCCACUAGAUAUGCCGUUGCUUAAAGACGCUCCUCCGCUUGAUAUGGGCCUAAUGGCCCAGGCCCCAACUAAAGGUAAGCUUACCCUCAGUAAAAAAUGAAAGGUCCUAGACAAAGUCAAAUAACUUCUUUUUUUACCUUAGUCCUAAAAGAACAUCUUGCGAAAAAGAAUGGC
This 800-nucleotide long non-coding RNA is filed under the name Bemisia tabaci. RNAcentral describes it as "lncRNA ENSSWEETPG009471". Lineage: Eukaryota; Metazoa; Arthropoda; Insecta; Hemiptera; Aleyrodidae. The record is from RNAcentral.